UACAGAGGGGGCAAGCGUUUGUUCGGAAUUACUGGGCGUAAAGGGUCCGUAGGUGGCCAACUAAGUCAGACGUGAAAUCCCUCAGCUUAACUGGGGAACUGCGUCUGAGACUGGUGGCUCGAGUGCAGGAGAGGAAUGCGGAAUUCCAGGUGUAGCGGUGAAAUGCGUAGAUAUCUGGAGGAACACCGGUGGCGAAGGCGGCAUUCUGGACUGCAACUGACACUGAACGACGAAAGCCAGGGGAGCAAACGGG
Molecule: ribosomal RNA, 253 nt
Filed under: uncultured bacterium
Lineage: Bacteria
Description: partial 16S ribosomal RNA
Rfam family: Bacterial small subunit ribosomal RNA
Source: RNAcentral